This 452-nucleotide ribosomal RNA is filed under the name uncultured bacterium. RNAcentral describes it as "bacterial SSU rRNA". It matches the Rfam family "Bacterial small subunit ribosomal RNA", at positions 349 to 793 of the family's 1533-position model. The record is from RNAcentral.
CAGCAGUGGGGAAUAUUGCACAAUGGGCGCAAGCCUGAUGCAGCCAUGCCGCGUGUGUGAAGAAGGCCUUCGGGUUGUAAAGCACUUUCAGUAAGGAGGAAAGGUUAAGUGUUAAUAGCGCUUAGCUGUGACGUUACUUACAGAAGAAGCACCGGCUAACUCCGUGCCAGCAGCCGCGGUAAUACGGAGGGUGCGAGCGUUAAUCGGAAUUACUGGGCGUAAAGCGUACGCAGGCGGUUUGUUAAGCGAGAUGUGAAAGCCCCGGGCUCAACCUGGGAACUGCAUUUCGAACUGGCAAACUAGAGUGUGAUAGAGGGUGGUAGAAUUUCAGGUGUAGCGGUGAAAUGCGUAGAGAUCUGAAGGAAUACCGAUGGCGAAGGCAGCCACCUGGGUCAACACUGACGCUCAUGUACGAAAGCGUGGGGAGCAAACAGGAUUAGAUACCCUGGUAG